Hemiscyllium ocellatum (epaulette shark) is the source of this 4677-nucleotide RNA transcript. It is a transcript of the gene named GRB2 associated, regulator of MAPK1, with no coding region annotated. Lineage: Eukaryota; Metazoa; Chordata; Chondrichthyes; Orectolobiformes; Hemiscylliidae. The transcript has 8 exons. The record is from RefSeq and is a predicted model, not a curated record.
GGAUUGAACCGGGCGGCGUGUCGAAGGAAUGAGAUGUUAGUAACGGGGAGGUUAUACUGGGUGAGGGGCUGCAGUUUCGAUCUUUGCAGCAAGAGAAGGGACUUGCGGAGGAAGGGGGCGGUUUGUGUGGUGAGAGGGUGAUUCGGGAGGAGGGGCCCGCGUGGGAGUGGAGCCAGGAUGGGCCGAUGUUGCUGCACCAUUCUGUCGUCUGGUGCGAGUGGCAAGUCGGCCGCUUCCCGGAGCGGAGUGUGUGACUCCUGGUAAUGGCGCUGCGGGAGCCCGGCAGCAAGCCCAGCUCGACAGCAGUGCAAGCAGCCGCAGCCCAGCCCCCGGGAAAACCUGCGGUUGAACGCCACCCGUCUCCGCCUGGGGUCGGGCGCCAUGGAGACACUGAGCAGCACCAGGGAGAUUGAGUGGAGCGGCGUGUCGAGGCCGCUGGACCUGCUGGUCAGCACCUACCGGUUACCGCAGCUCGUCAAGCUGGAGAACGGGGAAGCCGUGGAAGGGAUUCGUGAAAACGAUUUGGUUUUACUUCAUUCCUGCCGACAAUGGACAACUAUUACUGCUCACAGCUUGGAAGAAGGUCACUAUGUGAUAGGACCAAAAAUAGAGAUUCCUGUUCAUUAUGGAGGACAGUUUAAGCUAUUGGAACAGGACCGAGAUGUCAAGGAACCUGCACAAUACUUCAGCAGUGUCGAGGAGGUGGCAAAAGCAUUCCCUGAACGAGUGUACGUAAUGGAGGAAAUAACAUUCAAUGUUAAGGUAGCCGCAGGGGAAUGCAAUGAAGAUACUGAAGUAUACAACAUCACUUUGAGUACAGGUGAUGAACUUACUCUAAUGGGACAAGCUGAAAUUCUUUAUGCCAAAACAUCAAAAGAAAAGUCCAGAUUUAACAAUAUCUUUAAGAAAAUUGGAAAAUUGAACGCUAUUGGCAGAUUUGGAAGAGGAAAGAUGCCUUGCCUUAUUUGCAUGAAUCACCGGACCAAUGAAAGCAUUAGCCUUCCUUUCCAGUGUAAAGGCCGAUUCAGCACACGUAGUCCCCUUGAGAUACAAAUGCAAGAUGGUGAACACACUAUUCGCACCAUUGUUGAAAAGACCAGGCUCCCAGUAAAUGUUACAGUGCCAUCUGCACCUCCACGAAAUCCUUAUGAUCUGCACCUCAUUCGAGAGGGUCAUCGCUAUAAGUUUGUUAAUAUUCAAACCAAGACUGUUGUGGUGUGCUGUGUACUUCGCAACAACAAAAUGAUUCCCAUGCACUUUCCACUUCAUUUAGUUGUGCCAAAGUUUACCUUAGCUGAAGGUCUUCUUAAGGGAGCAAUGUGGUAUGAGAACGCAAUACAACAUUCAUUCAAUGUUUGUCAAGAGCAGUUCGAUAUUGAAGAGUAUUCACGAGCUGUUCGGGAUGUAAAAAUUGACUGGAAUGAAGAUUGCAAAAGUCCAAAGAAGACGCGGUGUACUGGGCACAGUCACAUGCCUAACUCUCUCAGCUAUGCCCGUGAAGAAUUGACACAGUCUUUCCAUCGACUUUCCGUAUGUGUUUAUGGAAAUAAUUUGCAUGGAAAUAGUGAAGUAAAUCUGCAUGGUUGCAAAGAUCCAAAUAAUGAGUGGACUCUCUUCUCUCAUGAAACCGUCCUAUCUCAAGAUUCUGGAGACAGUGGGAGUGAUUAUUUGCUACCUGAAGUGACUGAAGAAUCUGCUGGAGUCCAAUCAUGGUCAGAACUUCCCUAUGAAGAGCUAUGGUUAGAUCAAGGAACUGGGAAACUGAGUGGACAAGAUCUUUUCUGUUUGGGCGAGAGAUUGAAAUCUGAUCAGAGGGGCUCUAGCCACUCUAAAUGCCCAGCUUCUUCUGUCCUUUCUUCUCCAAGUCCUUUGUCUUCAAUCAAACCAUCGUCUGAUACUUGUCUACCUCCACCUCCAGUGCCUCCAAAGUCUGAAGCUGUAAAAGAAGAAUGCAGACUUCUGAACGCUCCACCAAUUCCACCACGGAAUUCCAAGCCAUCUUCUCAGAGUCCAUCAAUUCCACCUCGGCAAAUACGCCAACAGACACGCUCUCCGAGCCCUACGCUAUCUUACUAUUCUUCUGGAUUGCAUAACAUUGGUGCCACAGAAAAUGAUGCACCUUCGCCUAUUGAGAAGCAUUCCUCAGUUUCCUGUUAUCCUUGUAACUGGAUUGAUUCUAAAGCUAUGGACAGUGGAGCUAAACUGCCCCUCAGAAGCCCCUUAUUGGACAGCCCUUCAAAUCGCUCAUCGUGGCCAAACCAACGUUAUGGGGAUGUUGACCAAGAUGGUUGUGAUUUUUUAUCUGAACACAGAAGUUACUACAGUUAUCCACGUCACAAAAUACCAAGUACUCCAAAGAACAUAGUGCCAGUACUGUUUCAAUAUGGUAGCAGUGAAUGUGCUGGGGGCUGUGAGGAGUUUCCAGUUAAUACCAUUCCCAGACAGCAACAGCCCAAGGAUGGAGGAUUUCAUUUUAUUCCUACUGGCUAUCCAAGAUCUACAAGUUAUUCCUCAGAAGGCUAUGGUGAAAAACCUCUAGCAGAUAACGUCCAACAAAGUCGGUCAUGCCCCACCUUGCCACCACGUCCAUUAAAGUUCACCGAUGAAGAAUUAAUUAGCCUAGAAGCACUGUUUCUGCCAUCGACUAGAGACGGGGCUGAGGACAAACCACAGAUUUGCUCAACAGAUCUACCUGAAGAAAAGUUUGUUAACAAAGAUAAACUCAGUGUAUUUUCUACUCCUCCUCCUCCUCCUCCUCCUCCUCCUCCUCCUCCUCAUCUGCAGUUAGCACAUUCAUGUGGUGAUGGAUCACCUUGGCAGCCACCAUCUGACCUUGGUGGACUGUCUAUUGAAGAGGUGUCAAAGUGCCUGCAAUUUAUUGGUCUCCCUGAAGAGAUUGUGUCACUGUUUGUGACAGAAAAAGUUGAUGGAAAUCUACUUGUACAGCUGACAGAGGAAAUCCUGUCUGAAGACUUUCAGCUUAGCAAACUCCAAAUUAAAAAGCUUUUGCAUUUCAUCAGUGGCUGGCGACCCAAGAUGUAGUGCUAUGAUUCAAAAGGCAUAAAUGUUGAGGAUCUGACCUCAACAUUUAUUGUUUUGCACUAAAUAGUCAUCAUUUUUGGACUGUGUCAAAUCAGUGCUGUCUCUCUAAAUGGUUUGCUUAUAAAGUGCGAAGAGUACCAGUAGUACUUCAUAGUACUAUGAAGAGCAGAGGAAAGUACAGUGUAUUCAAAAAGAACGGGUACCCAUGAACAAAGUCUGCCAAUUUCUCAGCAACAAACACAAACAAGGAGAGAAAAAACAUGUCCAGAAACCCUAGCCUCUCUUCCCUACAUCAAAAACAUCUCACAAAUGACUGCCAGACUACUCAGACCCCUUGGCAUCAUGGUAGCCCACCAACACACUAAAACAGCAGCUAAUGAACUUGAAAGACCCUGUACAGACAACAAGCAAAACGAAAAUCAUUUACAAAAUAUCUUGCAAGAACUGUAACAAACACUACAGUGGACAUACAGGCAGAUAAUUAGCCACCAGGAUAUGUGAACAUCAACUAGCCACAAAAAGACAUGACCCACUAUCAAUAGGAUCCUUUCACACAAAUGAUGAAGGAUACCACUUCGACUGAGACAACACAUCCAUCCCAGGACAAGCCAAACAGAGAUACGCACGAGAAUUCCUUGAAGCAUAGCACUCUAACCGGAACGCUAUCAACAAACACAUUGACUUGGAUCCCAUUUACCACUCCCUGAGAAAAAGCAAGGGAAAUUACAUCACCAUAGGAAGUGACAUCACCAACCCAAGGAAACACAAACACAAACAGAAAACAGGCUACACCACCAAUACUUCAUCCAGAGCUCACUGAAGAUGUUAUCUACUAUGGUGAUGAAACGUCUGAAACAAACCUUCCAGUUCAUCUUAUGGAACCACAAAUUCCACCCCAUCUCCACUCAAGUUUAUUCACAACACCAUAGAUCUCAAACACCAAGAGACAGAAUACAGAAAAGGGAUUGAGUGCUUAGUAUAAAGAUACUCUCCAUCAACUUCAGAAAACAAAGGAGCCCGUUACUGACUUCAAGAAGGGGACUGAUGGGAACACCUGUGUCUGCAUCCAUUCUGCUGAGGUUGAGAUGGUCAAAAGCAUCAGUUCCUGGGAGUGAUGAUCACACAACAAUCUGGCCUCAUUCACCCAUGAUGGUCAAGAAAGCAUAAAAUGUCACUACUUCCUCAGGAGGCUAAGGAUGCCCACAAGGACACUUACCAAUUUUAAUUGAAGCACCAUAGAAAGCACCCUAUCUGGAUACAUCACAGAGUGUUCUGGCAACUGCUCUUCCCAAGACCAAAAGAAACUGCUGAUCCCAGUUCAUCACGCAAAUCAGACUUUCACCCAUUGACUCAAUCUAUAAAUGCCAUUGCCUCGGGAAAACAAUCAAUAUGAAGACCCAUCUCACUCUGGUUAUACUCUCUUCCACUGUCUUCCAUCAGGCAGAAGAUAUAAAAGUUUGAAUACAUGUACGAAAGAUUCAUGAAUAGCUUCUUCUAUUGUUAUCCGACUUUUGAAUGGACCUCAAAUGUUACUGUUGAUCUCUCUCUGCACCUUCUUUGUGGCUGUAAAAUUUGAUUCUCACUCGAUUUGUUACUCUGAGCUUUGUAUGAUACGAUCUGCCGGUGUAGCACUCA